RNAcentral lists this ribosomal RNA (468 nucleotides) under uncultured bacterium. RNAcentral describes it as "partial 16S ribosomal RNA". It matches the Rfam family "Bacterial small subunit ribosomal RNA", at positions 28 to 507 of the family's 1533-position model. The record is from RNAcentral.
GACGAACGCUGGCGGCGUGCUUAACACAUGCAAGUCGAACGGAAAGGCCCUGCUUUUGUGGGGCGCUCGAGUGGCGAACGGGUGAGUAACACGUGAGUAACCUGCCCUUGACUUUGGGAUAACUUCAGGAAACUGGGGCUAAUACCGGAUAGGAGCUCCUGCUGCAUGGUGUGGGUUGGAAAGUUUCGGCGGUGGGGGAUGGACUCGCGGCUUAUCAGCUUGUUGGUGGGGUAGUGGCUUACCAAGGCUUUGACGGGUAGCCGGCCUGAGAGGGUGACCGGCCACAUUGGGACUGCGAUACGGCCCAGACUCCUACGGGAGGCAGCAGUGGGGAAUAUUGCACAAUGGGCGGAAGCCUGAUGCAGCAACGCCGCGUGCGGGAUGACGGCCUUCGGGUUGUAAACCGCUUUCGCCUGUGACGAAGCGUGAGUGACGGUAAUGGGUAAAGAAGCACCGGCUAACUACGUG